GAUGAACGCUGGCGGCGUGCCUAAUACAUGCAAGUCGAGCGAACAGACGAGGAGCUUGCUCCUUUGACGUUAGCGGCGGACGGGUGAGUAACACGUGGAUAACCUACCUAUAAGACUGGGAUAACUUCGGGAAACCGGAGCUAAUACCGGAUAACAUGUUGAACCGCAUGGUUCAACAGUGAAAGACGGUUUUGCUGUCACUUAUAGAUGGAUCCGCGCCACAUUAGCUAGUUGGUAAGGUAACGGCUUACCAAGGCAACGAUGCGUAGCCGACCUGAGAGGGUGAUCGGCCACACUGGAACUGAGACACGGUCCAGACUCCUACGGGAGGCAGCAGUAGGGAAUCUUCCGCAAUGGGCGAAAGCCUGACGGAGCAACGCCGCGUGAGUGAAGAAGGUCUUCGGAUCGUAAAACUCUGUUAUUAGGGAAGAACAAAUGUGUAAGUAACUAUGCACGUCUUGACGGUACCUAAUCAGAAAGCCACGGCUAACUACGUG
RNAcentral lists this ribosomal RNA (497 nucleotides) under uncultured bacterium. RNAcentral describes it as "partial 16S ribosomal RNA". It matches the Rfam family "Bacterial small subunit ribosomal RNA", at positions 28 to 507 of the family's 1533-position model. The record is from RNAcentral.